Molecule: ribosomal RNA, 762 nt
Filed under: uncultured bacterium
Lineage: Bacteria
Description: bacterial SSU rRNA
Rfam family: Bacterial small subunit ribosomal RNA
Source: RNAcentral
GGGUGAGUAACGCGUGAGGAACCUGCCUCAAAGAGGGGGACAACAGUUGGAAACGACUGCUAAUACCGCAUAAGCCCACGGCUCGGCAUCGAGCAGAGGGAAAAGGAGCAAUCCGCUUUGAGAUGGCCUCGCGUCCGAUUAGCUAGUUGGUGAGGUAAUGGCCCACCAAGGCGACGAUCGGUAGCCGGACUGAGAGGUUGAACGGCCACAUUGGGACUGAGACACGGCCCAGACUCCUACGGGAGGCAGCAGUGGGGAAUAUUGCACAAUGGGGGAAACCCUGAUGCAGCGACGCCGCGUGGAGGAAGAAGGUCUUCGGAUUGUAAACUCCUGUUGUUGAGGAAGAUAAUGACGGUACUCAACAAGGAAGUGACGGCUAACUACGUGCCAGCAGCCGCGGUAAAACGUAGGUCACAAGCGUUGUCCGGAAUUACUGGGUGUAAAGGGAGCGCAGGCGGGAGAACAAGUUGGAAGUGAAAUCCAUGGGCUCAACCCAUGAACUGCUUUCAAAACUGUUUUUCUUGAGUAGUGCAGAGGUAGGCGGAAUUCCCGGUGUAGCGGUGGAAUGCGUAGAUAUCGGGAGGAACACCAGUGGCGAAGGCGGCCUACUGGGCACCAACUGACGCUGAGGCUCGAAAGUGUGGGUAGCAAACAGGAUUAGAUACCCUGGUAGUCCACACCGUAAACGAUGAUUACUAGGUGUUGGAGGAUUGACCCCUUCAGUGCCGCAGUUAACACAAUAAGUAAUCCACCUGGGGAGUA